Molecule: long non-coding RNA, 5507 nt
Filed under: Arabidopsis lyrata
Lineage: Eukaryota; Viridiplantae; Streptophyta; Magnoliopsida; Brassicales; Brassicaceae
Description: long non-coding RNA (ALYR_LNC002578)
Source: RNAcentral
CCCAGCAAAGUGGUAGUGACUCAGCAUGAUAUGAGAGGCUCGCCAGGGUUCGAGUAACGAUAUUGGUACCCCCCCCGAAUGAGAAGAAGACUCAUGUCUCCUCUCGGUUUCCAUCAAGUGUUGGUGGAUGAUGAAAGAGUUUAAAAAUGUAAACUCCUUCAUGAAUUGGCUGGAAUGCAGUUGCAGCACAGCCUCCGGGACUGUCUAUCACUGAGAAUCGUGCCUUUGAUGAUAGCCGAAAUGAGGUAAUCAAAAUUACCUCUUUUUUUAUUUUUAUAUAUGGGAAAAUGAAAACUUGAAGUUAUUAACAUUGCUAAAUCGUUUAGAGUGGAAACUUACUUAUUCUAAAACCACAUAAAUCUGGGUUUACCGAGUUUUAGUGAGAGAAAUUAUUAAACCACAUAAACGAUUAGAAAGGUACACAACCAUUUUGAGCAGAUAUAUUUUCGCAUAAAUUCACAUGUUGAAAUAAACGAUUAAUCAUAUAUCAAACAAAUAAGGCGUUUUAUGUAAACUCUUCCCAUUGGAAAAUAAUUGAAUGCAUUUCUAAGAAGAUUUAAAAUUAUAGUCAUAAUUAAAGAUUACGCACCAUACGAACGAUUAAAUAUUACUCACCAUAUAGAAAGACGACAUAAUGCUCAACAUAUGAAAAUCCAAGGAAAUAGAUGGGCUAGAAAAUUUUAAAAAACAAAAAGUUUUACAAUAAUUCCUGCUUCUUAAUAAAAAUGCUUAUUUCUUCCUAAUCAAAACUGUCAAUGUAAUGGUAUUUCUCUCUUGCCUUGUUUGAAAUCAAAACUGUCAAUGCAUGUGUUGCUGGCACCCUUCUCCGAACAGAGCCAAAGACAAACAAAGAUUUCAACACACUAUGAGCACAUUUUUUGAGAGACGUCAGACAGCGAAAAUAGAUAUAACACAUGAAAAUUUACAAUUUAGAGAGUUACUAAUCAAAGAUCUUAAAACUGAAAGAAGCGAUAAUUCUCUUCAAUAAAGCCAGUAGAUUGAAAAAAUUUCAUUCAAUGUUUCUAAAUCGAAGAAUUUUUUAUAUCAAAUAGUUAACAUCGUCCAAUGGUAAGGGUGGCGUCUCAGCAAAUCAAAAGGACAAACGGAGAUCAGCGAGGACGAGUCAACAAAGCUAUUUUUAAGCGAGUCAAAUGCCUACAUCAAGUCACUUGCGUGGCUUGGAAACAAAGGGAUUCCCACCUUUAUAAAACAAAGUCACGACUUGUAGCUUGCAUAAAGCCAUCUCCAACCAACAUUUCAAUAGUCACACCGUUCACUACUUGGUUCCACAUCUUACAAGUUUAAGGCAUCAAUCUUUCUUUUGAUUACUCAUCUCUAAUAUAGAUUUCAGCAGCUCAAAGUAUUCUUUAUCCCUCCUUUAUUAUUGUUGAAAUUUGCUCAAUAUCUUUUAUUUGUACAGAGCAUGUUGAUAAAGAAAGUGAAACAGAAUUGGACGAGAGAAGGAGAGAAACUGUUUUUAUUUACUUCGACAAUUUUGUACAAUAACACACGUACUUAUAUAGCUGUCUUACGGUCGUAACAGUUGUGUCUUAUCCAACAAGUCACAACUCUUACCCAUACACCCUUGUGUCUUAACAAAGUCACGGUUAACAACUACCGAUUGAUUUUACAACACAAUAAUAUGUUAUAUAGAAUAACAUAAGACUAAACUCAAUUAUCACUGAACUCAACACACUCAAUUAUGUACAUAACUUCUCAAACAGAAUCAUUAACAACACUCUGUAAAUUUAUCAGCUUUUAAAAAAAGGAUUCUACCAUUACCAAAGUAAGUGAUAGAGAGCGGAAGCUAAAUAACGGACGAGAAUACAAGAUCUCUAAGAGAAGUCGGAUUCACGAACGGAUCUUGCUUAGAACGUCGAAACUUGACGAAGAAGCAAUAAAGAUAGGGUCGAGAUCGGUAGCGAUAUCGACGUGGUUUUGCAAGUCCUCCUUGCAGGGCUUGAACACAAACUCUUAGGGUUGAGAGUCCUCCUCUCUAGGCUUUACACAAAGCUCUCUUAAAAAACUCAAUUUAUUCAAUAAUCCAAAGCUGCCCCUCUUAACGCAUAAUCUAAGCCUUAUAUAAGGCGUUCAUAAACGAAAACCCUAAUCUAAAAACAUAAACGUAUAUACUAAUUAAAAGCCCAAAAUAAAAGCCCAUGUAUCAUAGAUGACGCUGCAUCAGUCUCCUCGGGUUAGAGAAGAUUCAUCCUCGAAUCUUGCGACGUUCGAUCUUGAAGAUGCGCUGCAUCAGUCCCUCCGGGUUAGAAAGAUUCGACCCGAAUCUUAAAUCGUUGAACAUAUGAUACCAACUGAUAGAGAGCGGAAGCUAAAUAACGGACGAGAAUACAAGAUCUCUAAGAGAAGUCGGAUUCACGAACGGAUCUUGCUUAGAACGUCGAAACUUGACGAAGAAGCAAUAAAGAUAGGGUCGAGAUCGGUAGCGAUAUCGACGUGGUUUUGCAAGUCCUCCUUGCAGGGCUUGAACACAAGCUCUUAGGGUUAAGAGUCCUCCUCUCUAGGCUUUACACAAAGCUCUCUUAAAAACUCAAUUUAUUCAAUAAUCCAAAGCUGCCCCUCUUAACACAUAAUCUAAGCCUUAUAUAAGGCUUUCAUAAACGAAAACCCUAAUCUAAAAACAUAAACGUAUAUACUAAUUAAAAGCCCAAAAUAAAAGCCCAUGUAUCAUAGAUGACGCUACAUCAGUAAGCAAAGCAAAUAAUAAACCCGUGUAUAUGAUAAUAGACAAGUAGCUAAGGACCAAAGCCGCACACUUAAAGUGUAAAAUUGGCAUUUGACCGUACAAAAAACCAAGAAAAUAGAGUCAACAUCCACAAAUAAGAUAGUGCAGCAAACUCAUACAUGAGAAAAUUGGACAGUGUAAUGUACUCACACUAAAAAAUUCCACUUUGUACACAAUUCGGAUCGAAUUUAGAUUAAGUUCCUUUACUUAUAGAAGUAAUGAAAAGAGAAGUAUUGCACCCAUGUAUUUCCUAAUUGCGAUACCAUAAACUAUUUAUCAGUUAUUUCUCCGGUUCUCCCAUAUCCAUGGCUUUAGGCUCAACAUCUCACACCCCUCAAAUGAAACAUACAAAACAACCAUCUCAUCCCCAAAAACCACAAUUGUAUUAUUAAACUAUAGGUCUAGUAAACCCAACGUAUUUACAAUAAUGGAACAAAUCUCAAAAAUAGUCAUUAACAAAUCUAUGUUUUGGGAACUGGGAAAAAGAUUCAGAUAUUUCUAAGGGUCAAACAAAUCUAUGAUUGAUUGCCCAUAGAACCCCAUAAAUCUAGAAUGAUAUUAAGUAGGAGAGUGUGUAAUCAACAAAGUCGAUAGAAGCAUAUAAAAAAAAAAACAAUAAGGAAAUCAACAGAAGUACUACUUCUAGAAACAAAUGAUCGCUGCAUGCAUAGACAUUAAGAGACAAGAACAAAAUGACUAACCUACGAUGAGGUUGAAGCGGUGGUGAGUGGUGACAAUGUUGAAUAGAGGGGCCGUGGCUCCACACGCCAACUACGGACCAUUGAAGAUGAAGAAGCCCUUGGUAAGAAGACGUUCACAGUCUCCAUACUUUCACCAUUGUCUCAUAUCCAUGGCCUGAUAAUAACGACAUGAUGCUGAAACUUUCAGCCUGAAAGUAACAAAAUUAAAUCAACCAUCACAUGUUUACUCAAACAAAAAAAAAAGUCACAACUACGAAUCUACACAAAGAAGAGAUUAGUGAUUACCUAAAAGAGGAGAUCAAAGAGCGUGACAACAACAAUGGUAAGGAGAUUCAAGAGCGAGCACGACAAGCGAUGGUAAAGGUGUCAGGUGUGGAAUCUCUAAAACGAUGACUGGCGGGGAUGAGUGAACGGAGGAUUGCAAAUCAGGGAUUUUAAAACAAAACAUAAAUUAGUAACACAACCAAAUUGAAUAAUCGAAGAACCAGGACAUAUGUUCUUCAUUGAAUAAUUGAAGAGCAUGACAAAUCGGCGAGUUAAAAGGAUCACCCUAGAGGCGAAAUUAGGCAACGCUGCAUACUCAACGGAGAAUUGGGAAAUUGAUUUUGUGAUUACUGUUUUUGAUUUUUAAUUUCUAUAUACUUUGACUUGAAAAAUUUGUAAGGGAACGACAGAGGAGAAAAAAUUCUUCAAAACUACAUUGAUGAAUCCCGAAAAUAGAUUUCUCAAGUGAAAAGUGUUGUGUCUUUCUGUUUUUAGAGAGGCAUUGAUUCGAGGGAAAAAGUAAUCUCAACCGUUAGUUUUGCUUUAAUAAAAGACGCGACUUUUGCUUUAAUAAAACAAUCUCAUCCGUUAGUUUUUCUUCUUUUUCAUACUCAACCGUUAGAUUAUAAAGAUGACGUCAGCAGACCCAAAAAAGUGGGUUUGCUAUUAUAUAUAGAUUCUUAAUUCAAUUUCUGUUACUACAAAUCAGAAACAGAACAUCACCUUAAUUAUCUGCAAAACCUGCAAAUUAAAAGACAUUGACUUGGUCUUUAAAUCCUGUGUUUGGCUUCUUCACACGAAUGGCAUUUCAACAAAGUUUCGUAAAAAUAUUGAAUAAACGCUAGAGAAAUUAUCUAUAACUAAGAAGUGAGGCAAGAGAAGUUAUCUAAACCUCUGAAGAUGACAAAGCUCAAUGGAAGGCGACUUUUACUAAACCGACUCUGAUCAGUGCCAAAAAUAACUAACUUUCCUCCAAAAUUCCUUGAGAAGCACGUUAGCCGGAAAACCUUUUAAAACCCUCAAUAGUUUCCAAUACGGCUCCUCUGGAUUAUACACCAUUAGUGGAUAAUACACUCUUGACUCAUGAAGAUUAACAGAAAACAACAUAUCAUCAAUCAAUCACACAACACGGCUCUUGCCACAGAGCAUUCAACAUAUCUACUCCUCCCCAUCCAUGACUUCAAAUUAGUUUUUUUUGGUUCGUAAGCAUAAGAACAGUGCUUAUCCCUCAUGUAAAUAUUCUCCUCCAUCACCACAUAUGUCACAAACUCAGUCACAGAGGUAUGUAGGUUCGGACAGAAGGUUGGUCUUAUUGCUGCUAGGAGGAGAGGUCAAGCUGCUGCUUCAGCCGCCAAGGCCGACUAGGGUUAUUUAAACAUAAAAGAAUUUGUUUCUCUUUUCUAUAUAUGUUUGAAGUUUUGUUGUCUUGUAUUUCCGUUUGGACGACCUUGUUCUACAAUUCUAAACAUUUUUAUGAUAAUCUUUAUCUUCCCUCUCUCUCUCUUUAAAAGCUUAUAGUAUACAUUGCAAAUUUUCAUCACAAGUUUUAUUAUUGUUCUCUAUCCGAAUCUUGUUUAUAGCUAGAUGAGUAAUUCUAUCACCUAAGCAUAAUUUGCUGUUGGUUAGUUUGCAAUGGUUCCCUAACGAACCGUAUCAAACCGAGUAUUUAGUUAUAUGUUUAAAACGUUUUAAGUAUCAAUAAAUUAGACAAAUAGCUGCCAAUUCCGAACCGGUGAAAAUGGUAGGGACUCAGCAUGAUGAGAGAGUCUCACCACGGUUCGAGUAGCGAUAUUGGUACC